GGGGCGGUUGUCUAGUCUGGUCUAAGAUGUUUGCUUUGGGAGCAAGUGAUCGGGAGUUCAAAUCUCCCUCGCCCCA
Molecule: transfer RNA, 76 nt
Filed under: Nitrososphaerota archaeon
Lineage: Archaea; Thermoproteati; Nitrososphaerota
Also listed under: 1 other name
Rfam family: tRNA
About the family: Transfer RNA (tRNA) molecules are approximately 80 nucleotides in length. Their secondary structure includes four short double-helical elements and three loops (D, anti-codon, and T loops). Further hydrogen bonds mediate the characteristic L-shaped molecular structure. tRNAs have two regions of fundamental functional importance: the anti-codon, which is responsible for specific mRNA codon recognition, and the 3' end, to which the tRNAs corresponding amino acid is attached (by aminoacyl-tRNA synthetases). tRNAs cope with the degeneracy of the genetic code in two manners: having more than one tRNA (with a specific anti-codon) for a particular amino acid; and 'wobble' base-pairing, i.e. permitting non-standard base-pairing at the 3rd anti-codon position.
Source: Rfam by way of RNAcentral